CCUACGGGAGGCAGCAGUGGGGAAUAUUGGACAAUGGGCGAAAGCCUGAUCCAGCCAUGCCGCGUGAGUGAUGAAGGCCUUAGGGUUGUAAAGCUCUUUCACCCACGACGAUGAUGACGGUAGUGGGAGAAGAAGCCCCGGCUAACUUCGUGCCAGCAGCCGCGGUAAUA
Molecule: ribosomal RNA, 170 nt
Filed under: uncultured bacterium
Lineage: Bacteria
Description: partial 16S ribosomal RNA
Rfam family: Bacterial small subunit ribosomal RNA
Source: RNAcentral